RNAcentral lists this long non-coding RNA (228 nucleotides) under Elaeis guineensis (African oil palm). RNAcentral describes it as "long non-coding RNA (EGUI_LNC019441)". The record is from RNAcentral. Lineage: Eukaryota; Viridiplantae; Streptophyta; Magnoliopsida; Arecales; Arecaceae.
UCUGUGAAUGUAACGAAAUAAAUAGUGUAAUCUGAUUAUUUGUUGCAAAAUUACAUGUAAUCCUGUUACGAUUAUAUGCUACCAAAUGCCUCCCCUAAUGAAUUGCGAAAAAGCUUCUACCCUAUAGCAUAAUCCCGUUCCUUCUAAAGUACCUGAAUAACCUUUUUAUUAUUUUCUCAAAUUUAUUCCACGAUCAAACAUAACCUCAAAAUCAUCUCACUAGAUAGG